UUAAAAAAACUUGUAGCAGAUAAACUUGGCAAAAAACUUGUCUGGCAAACAAGGCCCUCAUUUGCCAGUAAUUAGUAAGACAAGAAGCAGUAGCUAGUAAGACAAGAAGUAGUUUGAAGUGGUGUUUUCCCUUUCCUUAAUCUCCAUAUGGUUCCUAGGGGAUUGAAUUAUUUUCAAGUUUUGAUACUUAUUUUUGUCGAAAUUUGUUCUGAAAAUGCCUAGUGAACUUGAAGUGCAUGUGAAUAUCUCUCCAGUCUGAAGUCUCCAUUUUGUAGGAUUGUCAAGUGAAUUCUACUCUACCUGCUUAAUAAUCUGAAGACGGUACGGAGCCCGUCCUGACAAUAACAGAGUGGUUUACCUGUAUAUCUAUCCUGGCUCCAAUGCGAAGAUGUGGAUCAACUUAUUCAGUCACCCCUUGCAGGCUGCAGGUGAAUUGAUGGAGGCAACCUACCGGGCCUUCGCCAAAUUAAUCGUCAUCGGGGAAAUUCUCAGUCAAUUCCAACCUUUUUUAAUUUGUUUUUCCUUUGUCAUCAGCUGGAUGGCAUCCCAAAAAAAAAGUUCAAUUAUACAACACGAUGCUGCAAAGAAUGUUCCACUCUUGGUGACUUCAACUAGAUGUUCAUACACACCAUACUGAAGUGCAGCCAGAAUGAGAUUGGAGUUAUUUGAACCCAACUGCAGAAGAACUGCAGUUGCACAUUCCUUGUUUUUGGGAGUGCCGUCUCUGAUGAAGUUAACAAGAGUCUCAAUAAAUGAGAGCUGUCCAAUUUCUUGCCUU
Molecule: long non-coding RNA, 778 nt
Organism: Coffea arabica (coffee)
Lineage: Eukaryota; Viridiplantae; Streptophyta; Magnoliopsida; Gentianales; Rubiaceae
Source: RefSeq, a predicted model, not a curated record